UUGCUUAUUUCAAUCAAGAAAAUGUUUGUUUAAUUGAUCCGACUAGUAAUGAAGAAGAUUAUAUGACAUCUCGAUUAUCAAUAGCUUUAAAUAAAAAUGGUAAAUUAAUUAGUAUAUUAAAACCAGGUGGUUUACCUAUAUCUUUUGAAAAUAUGCAACAAACAAUUGAGCUAGCUAAAAAAAGAGUAAAAAGUAUUUUAAAAAUUGUAGAAGAUGCAUUAGAAGAGGAUGGUAAGUUAAGAAACAGUUUAAAAAAAAAGAAUUUACAUAUAAAAUAUUCAUGUGAUCCUGUACAAAUACAAUAUAAUGUUAAUAAUAUUUGUGAAAAUACAUUAGAAAUACCAUUAAACCAAUCGUUAAAAAAUGAAUUAAGUAUUGAACAAGAAAUUAAAAAAUAUGAAAAAUUUAUAUUAUUAAAAGAUGAAACACUUGAAUCGGAUUUAGUAAAAAAGGAAAGUGGUAGUAUGAACGAAAGAGGUAGGAUGAAUGAAAGUGGUAGGAUGAAUGAAAGUGGUAGUAUGAAUAUUGCUACUAUUUAUAAUAGACAAUAUAUGAUAGAAGAAGAAAUAAGAAAAUUAAAAAAUAAAAACAUAAUAGAUUUAACCAAUAAUUAUCCAAAUUAUGAACAAAUCGAUAGUGAUAGUGAUAGUGAUAGUAACACUCAUAAUAAAUGUUAUAAACAAGAAAAUUAUGAUUUAUUAUCGAAUAACAAUAUAGAUGGAUCCAUUAAAAAUGAAAAAAAAUUAGAUAACCUUGCAGAGUCCGUUAAAAUAAAGAGACCAGAAACAGUUUAUAAUAACAAUAAUUUACACAUUACAAAAUACCAAAAAACUAAUGGCAAUCACUUAAACGAAAAAAAAAUAUCCAAAAUGUUGUUAAAUCAAAUACAUUAAAAAAUAAUUAUUUCGAUAUUACUGCAUUAGUUGAAACGAGUAGAAAAAAAAAUACUAUCAGUAAAAAUAUUAAGUCGCAAUCAAAUUUGGGCGGCGCUGACGAUUCGUCGGAUAUUGAUUUUUCUGUUGCUAUUAAUGAAAAUUUA
RNAcentral lists this long non-coding RNA (1039 nucleotides) under Piliocolobus tephrosceles (Ugandan red Colobus). RNAcentral describes it as "lncRNA (ENSPTEG00000017552.1)". The record is from RNAcentral. Lineage: Eukaryota; Metazoa; Chordata; Mammalia; Primates; Cercopithecidae.